AUUAAGACAACUUUCUUUCAUUUCCUCUGGGAUGUGUAUUAAACCUAAGAAAUGGUAAUUUAGAAAUCCCAGACGUAUUAAACUUGCCUUGGGGAGUAAACUUUGGUUGUUUUAACUUUCAGAGAAAUGGUGAAAGUACAUCGAAGUGGCAGCGUGCAGGGUGUGAGGUGAGGGACAGACCUAAGUGAGGCAAGAGGAGGAGCUGGGCUUUCUGUGACAUGAGGGGCUACGGGUCAUCACUGGGGGCUUCUGACUAAGGGCACUAAUUGGACAGUAGGAUGCUCAUAAAGAUGAAACAUCUUUAAGUUGUCAGGAAGAGCUGAUGGAUCUACAGCUCGAGCUCUUUUCCUUGAGGAUUGCCUUACGCUAUCCAUAUAUAUUAAUCAUAAAAUCUGAAACAUAUUGUUCCUGGUUUGUGAUGUAUUUUUAAGAAAUCUUUUUGUCAAGAUGCAAAUUACAGAAAUUAUGAUUGUGAUUAUUACGGUUAGUUUUAAUUAGCAAAUAUUACUUAAAUGAUAAAAUAAUGAAAAAAGACUUUUUCCUCUACAUAAGACCAUGUUAGUGGAAAGCAAGUAGAAAAGUUGAAGAAACUGGAG
RNAcentral lists this long non-coding RNA (596 nucleotides) under Anser brachyrhynchus (Pink-footed goose). RNAcentral describes it as "lncRNA (ENSABRG00000006698.1)". Lineage: Eukaryota; Metazoa; Chordata; Aves; Anseriformes; Anatidae. The record is from RNAcentral.